Molecule: ribosomal RNA, 464 nt
Filed under: uncultured bacterium
Lineage: Bacteria
Description: partial 16S ribosomal RNA
Rfam family: Bacterial small subunit ribosomal RNA
Source: RNAcentral
CGAACGCUGGCGGCGUGCUUAACACAUGCAAGUCGAACGGAAAGGCCCUGCUUGCAGGGUACUCGAGUGGCGAACGGGUGAGUAACACGUGGGUGAUCUGCCCUGCACUUCGGGAUAAGCUUGGGAAACUGGGUCUAAUACCGGAUAGGAGCCAUCUUUAGUGUGGUGGUUGGAAAGUUUUUUCGGUGUAGGAUGAGCUCGCGGCCUAUCAGCUUGUUGGUGGGGUAAUGGCCUACCAAGGCGGCGACGGGUAGCCGGCCUGAGAGGGUGUACGGCCACAUUGGGACUGAGAUACGGCCCAGACUCCUACGGGAGGCAGCAGUGGGGAAUAUUGCACAAUGGGCGCAAGCCUGAUGCAGCGACGCCGCGUGGGGGAUGAAGGCCUUCGGGUUGUAAACUCCUUUCGCUAGGGACGAAGCUUUUUUGUGACGGUACCUAGAUAAGAAGCACCGGCUAACUACGUG